AUUGAACGCUGGCGGCAUGCCUUACACAUGCAAGUCGAACGGCAGCGCGGGAGCAAUCCUGGCGGCGAGUGGCGAACGGGUGAGUAAUAUAUCGGAACGUGCCCAGUAGUGGGGGAUAGCCCGGCGAAAGCCGGAUUAAUACCGCAUACGACCUGAGGGUGAAAGGGGGGGAUCGCAAGACCUCUCGCUAUUGGAGCGGCCGAUAUCAGAUUAGGUAGUUGGUGGGGUAAAGGCCUACCAAGCCUGCGAUCUGUAGUUGGUCUGAGAGGACGAGCAGCCACACUGGGACUGAGACACGGCCCAGACUCCUACGGGAGGAAGCAGUGGGGAAUUUUGGACAAUGGGCGCAAGCCUGAUCCAGCAAUGCCGCGUGCAGGAAGAAGGCCUUCGGGUUGUAAACUGCUUCUGUCAGGGAAGAAAUCCUCUAGGCUAAUACCUUGGGGGGGUGACGGUACCUGAAGAAUAAGCACCGGCUAACUACGUGCCAGCCGCCGCCGUAA
This 500-nucleotide ribosomal RNA is filed under the name uncultured bacterium. RNAcentral describes it as "partial 16S ribosomal RNA". It matches the Rfam family "Bacterial small subunit ribosomal RNA", at positions 29 to 523 of the family's 1533-position model. The record is from RNAcentral.